This 843-nucleotide long non-coding RNA is filed under the name Carassius auratus (goldfish). RNAcentral's name for it is "lncRNA (ENSCARG00000069787.1)". The record is from RNAcentral. Lineage: Eukaryota; Metazoa; Chordata; Actinopteri; Cypriniformes; Cyprinidae.
AUGAUUAGUCAAUUAAAGGAUAAGUUCAGUUCAUCCAAAACAGGCAGUAAGGAAGACCAGUCAUCUCAAACAUCAAAAGAUAGUGUUCAGAAUGGUAUGUUGAACUGGAUCUCCAACGGUUUUGCCAGCGCACUGCCUCUGCCCGGGAGUCCACUUCUUACGAGAGCCAACUCUGAUGCAAAAGAUGAAGGGUCUGUAGACAGGUCUGGAGUUAUUGGCUGGAUCACACAGGGAAUUGGAGAAGUGGUCCCACAGCCUGAUGAGAAAUACAUACAGGACAAGAGUCCAGAAUCUGAAGAAGUCACAGAGGUUUAUGAGGCAAAGGACCUCCCAGAUCAGGAGGCUUUGCCACAUAUACCAGUAGUAGAACUGAUGUCAGAAGACGAGGCAUCUGAAGUGGAACCAACCGCUAAGUUCCCUCCUAAUGUAAUGAGCUGGAUAAAGAGCGGCUUCCAGAACGCUGUUCCGCACCAUGUGACCAGACCCCCAAGUUCCAGUUCUUCCACGCCGAGGUCAUCACAGUGCUCAAACAAAGUUUAUUCACCUCCUCCAGAGUCAGAAACCAGCGUGACAGAGAUCGAUUCAAAAACUCCAAGGUGAGUCACGUCAAAUUUGAUGAACUCUUUUGCAAAAUUGGCAUGGAUGUCCGCUUGAUGUUCCCUCUUGUUUCCAGUAUGAUGGGUUGGAUUGUUCAGGGUCUGGGUCUUUCAAUGCCACAACCGGGGCUUAAAAACAAAUAAGGGUGUUUGGUAAGUGAGGUGCAAUUAGUUCAAGUUUAAUAGACGUUUCUCCAAAAUGACUCCUUUUCUUUCCACCAGGAGGAUGAGAAGAUUGUGCAAAAUG